AAAUUGAAGAGUUUGAUCAUGGCUCAGAUUGAACGCUGGCGGCAGGCCUAACACAUGCAAGUCGAACGGUAACAGAAAGCAGCUUGCUGCUUUGCUGACGAGUGGCGGACGGGUGAGUAAUGUCUGGGAAACUGCCCGAUGGAGGGGGAUAACUACUGGAAACGGUAGCUAAUACCGCAUAACGUCGCAAGACCAAAGAGGGGGACCUUCGGGCCUCUUGCCAUCGGAUGUGCCCAGAUGGGAUUAGCUAGUAGGUGGGGUAACGGCUCACCUAGGCGACGAUCCCUAGCUGGUCUGAGAGGAUGACCAGCCACACUGGAACUGAGACACGGUCCAGACUCCUACGGGAGGCAGCAGUGGGGAAUAUUGCACAAUGGGCGCAAGCCUGAUGCAGCCAUGCCGCGUGUAUGAAG
RNAcentral lists this ribosomal RNA (413 nucleotides) under Escherichia coli. Its description in RNAcentral is "bacterial SSU rRNA". It matches the Rfam family "Bacterial small subunit ribosomal RNA", at positions 1 to 410 of the family's 1533-position model. The record is from RNAcentral. Lineage: Bacteria; Pseudomonadati; Pseudomonadota; Gammaproteobacteria; Enterobacterales; Enterobacteriaceae.